This 253-nucleotide ribosomal RNA is filed under the name uncultured bacterium. Its description in RNAcentral is "partial 16S ribosomal RNA". It matches the Rfam family "Bacterial small subunit ribosomal RNA", at positions 524 to 776 of the family's 1533-position model. The record is from RNAcentral.
UACAGAGGUCUCAAGCGUUGUUCGGAUUCAUUGGGCGUAAAGGGUGCGUAGGCGGUGAGGUAAGUCGGAUGUGAAAUCCCGGGGCUCAGCCCCGGAACUGCAUUCGAUACUGCCUUGCUUGAGCACUGGAGAGGAGACUGGAAUUUACGGUGUAGCAGUGAAAUGCGUAGAUAUCGUAAGGAAGACCAGUGGCGAAGGCGAGUCUCUGGACAGUUGCUGACGCUGAGGCACGAAGGCCAGGGGAGCAAACGGG